AUGAGAGUUUGAUCCUGGCUCAGAACGAACGCUGGCGGCGUGCCUAACACAUGCAAGUCGAACGGAGUCAUAUUGAAGUAGCAAUACGGAUAUAUGACUUAGUGGCGGACGGGUGAGUAACACGUAGGUAACCAACCCUCAAGCGGGGGACAACCCAGGGAAACUUGGGCUAAUACCGCAUAAGACCACGGCCUGGGAUGGCUGAGGUAAAAGGAG
RNAcentral lists this ribosomal RNA (216 nucleotides) under Nitrospirota bacterium. RNAcentral describes it as "Nitrospirae bacterium partial 16S ribosomal RNA". It matches the Rfam family "Bacterial small subunit ribosomal RNA", at positions 1 to 209 of the family's 1533-position model. The record is from RNAcentral. Lineage: Bacteria; Pseudomonadati; Nitrospirota.